CAGCAGCCGCGGUAAGACGGAGGGUGCUAGCGUUGUUCCGAAUCACUGGGCGUAAAGGGCGCGUAGGCGGCCUGUUAAGUCGGAUGUGAAAGCCCGGGGCUCAACCCCGGAACUGCAUCCGAGACUGGCAGGCUUGAGACCGGGAGAGGAGGGUGGAAUAUCCAGUGUAGAGGUGAAAUUCGUAGAUAUUGGAUGGAACACCGGUGGCGAAAGCGGCUCUCUGGCCCGGAUCUGACGCUGAGGCGCGAAAGCGUGGGGAGCAAACAGGAUUAGAUACCCCCGUAGUCCCUGUCUCUUAUAC
This 301-nucleotide ribosomal RNA is filed under the name uncultured bacterium. Its description in RNAcentral is "partial 16S ribosomal RNA". It matches the Rfam family "Bacterial small subunit ribosomal RNA", at positions 509 to 807 of the family's 1533-position model. The record is from RNAcentral.